AAAAAAAAAAAAAAAAAAACCAAUUAAAAAUAACUUAACAUUAGACUAACUUUCAGACUAGUAAGUGGACAUGAGUGGCUUUAAUUCUAAGCUGAGUUAGGGAUAAAAGUAAUUGUUGUGCCUUUCCGUUCCAUACUAAUGAGUUGCAAAAAUUAACCCUUCUUUAUCAUAUCUCUCUCUUUUCUUCUCCUUCCUUCCUGAUAUGUUGUUUGUUCCUUUGGUUCUUUUUUCCUCCAUGCAUUCUUCUUUUAUGUUCCUUUAUUACCUACUGGAGGGUUGUGAUGUGUUCUAGCUAACUAACACUAGCAAGUGCACUGGUCGCGUUCAAAUAAUAAAGUAGUGAGAAAGAGUAUCAUCCCACACGGAUCAAAACUGCAAUUUGUAAUUAAACCAAUACUACCCUUUGUUAUUUGAGAAACCAAAUAUUUGAUUAAAAAAAUUGAUAAUAAAAAUUAAAGCAAGUAAAUUAAUUAAGAGGGUCAAAUUUCACCUUUACUUAUGUAUGAUAUAAUGAUAAUCAAUUUCAAUGCAAAUUUUAUAUCAUGAAAUGGUAGGAUUCAUCAUGACAUUGUCAUUUUCAGGUAGAAUAUUCAUCUAAAUUAAUAGUCCUUAUUUGUGUAGCAAUAAUCUAAAUGCAUAAAGAACAGGAAUCCCUUAAUUCAUUCUAUGCGGUUAGGAAUUAAAUAGACCAAACACUAUUUCUAAGGUUCUCCUCCAGGUAGCCUAGUCCUAAUGUGAUAUGCAGUACCCUUUCUAAAAAUCAACUAUGCAUUCAAAAGAGAAAUAAAUUCUAGCUUCUCUAUUUGAACUUCACUCGAAUCAUCAAUCAAUCAAACACACAAAGCAUUAAGAUCAAAUAUUGCAUAACCUCAUGAAAAAUAAAAUCAUUGCAUUGAAUUAAAAAUCAUAACAAAAGAGUUUACUCCAUCCUAAAGAUGGAAGAACACAAGAAGAAAGGAAAAUACAUCAUUAAAGCUCAAAAAUAGAAAAUAAGGAAAUCAAACUCUGGUGUUGAUGAAGCUUCAAUGUGCUGUGUCUUCUUCUUGCUCUCCCAAAAAUGUUCUCUUCUUGAUUUUUGAUUUUUGCUCUUUCAUUGCAACCAUAGUUAUUAAAGGCCCAAGGCGCACCAAGGCGCCAAGGGUCCUGGAGCCUAGGAGCAAGGUGCAAGGCGAGCGCCUGAGAAAAGAGAGGCGCAAAAAUAAAAA
Molecule: unclassified non-coding RNA, 1205 nt
Filed under: Hevea brasiliensis (rubber tree)
Lineage: Eukaryota; Viridiplantae; Streptophyta; Magnoliopsida; Malpighiales; Euphorbiaceae
Source: RNAcentral